Molecule: ribosomal RNA, 590 nt
Filed under: uncultured bacterium
Lineage: Bacteria
Description: bacterial SSU rRNA
Rfam family: Bacterial small subunit ribosomal RNA
Source: RNAcentral
AUUAGCUAGUUGGUGAGGUAACGGCUCACCAAGGCUCCGAUCGGUAGCCGGCCUGAGAGGGCGGACGGCCACACUGGGACUGAGACACGGCCCAGACUCCUACGGGAGGCAGCAGUGGGGAAUUGUUCGCAAUGGGCGCAAGCCUGACGACGCAACGCCGCGUGGAGGAUGAAGAUCUUCGGGUCGUAAACGGCUAACUCCGUGCCAGCAGCCGCGGUAAUACGGGGGGGGCAAGCGUUGUUCGGAAUUACUGGGCGUAAAGGGCUCGUAGGUGGCCCGCUAAGUUGGACGUGAAAUCCCUCGGCUCAACCGGGGAACUGCGUCCAAGACUGGCGGGCUUGAAUCCGGGAGAGGGACGUGGAAUUCCAGGUGUAGCGGUGAAAUGCGUAGAUAUCUGGAGGAACACCGGUGGCGAAGGCGGCGUCCUGGACCGGUAUUGACACUGAGGAGCGAAAGCCAGGGGAGCAAACGGGAUUAGAUACCCCGGUAGUCCUGGCCCUAAACGAUGAGUGCUUGGUGUGGCGGGUAUCGAUCCCUGCCGUGCCGGAGCUAACGCGUUAAGCACUCCGCCUGGGGAGUACGGUCGCAAG